GAUGAAGAACGUAGCGAAAUGCGAUAAGUAAUGUGAAUUGCAGAAUUCAGUGAAUCAUCGAAUCUUUGAACGCACAUUGCGCCCCCUGGCAUUCCGGGGGGCAUGCCUGUUCGAGCGUCAUUACAACCCUCAAGCUCUGCUUGGUAUUGGGCUCUGCUGGGACCGGCAGGCCUUAAAAUCAGUGGCGGCGCCACUCGGCUUCAAGCGUAGUAAUUCUUCUCGCUUCGGAGACCCGGGUGCGUGCUAGCCAGCAACCCCCAACUUUCUUAGGUUGACCUCGGAUCAGGUAGGGAUACCCGCUGAACUUAAGCAUAUCAAUAACGGAGGA
Molecule: unclassified non-coding RNA, 328 nt
Filed under: soil metagenome
Description: partial contains 5.8S ribosomal RNA, internal transcribed spacer 2, and large subunit ribosomal RNA
Rfam family: 5.8S ribosomal RNA (bases 1-120)
Source: RNAcentral